Molecule: long non-coding RNA, 776 nt
Organism: Cervus elaphus (red deer)
Lineage: Eukaryota; Metazoa; Chordata; Mammalia; Artiodactyla; Cervidae
Exons: 2
Source: RefSeq, a predicted model, not a curated record
UAAUGGGACUUUAAUUUUCAGAUGAAUAUUUAUGAGCUGUUGCCAAGCUUGUUCCGGAAGUUCCCGAGGCAAAGCUGCUGGGUGGGGGCCUGGUUAUGCCUCCCAGGGCCCCCAGGAGGGGCUGGCGCUGUCUGGAACGCGGUCCUAGGUGCCUCGUCCCUGGCGCCUUCGACCUGCCCCUCUGCUCCUCGUCUCAGCCCGCAGUCACCCCAUCAAGCCCACCCUCUGCUCUCAGCCAGAAGCAAGGUGGGGCCCGGGGGGUCCGCUCCUAGGACACCAGACCCCCUUCUGGGGCGCCUGUGACGCAGUAAGGACUGACGCUGACGUCACAGCCUCUGCAGGUGUGGCAGGAGGACUGGCAGGCAGGAAGGCAGCUUUGGAAAGGAAGCCUUGUGACCAGCCGCAGGGAGCGCUCUCUGAGUGACCGAGGCGGUGACAUUUGAGCACAAGCAACAGGCCCAUGCCAGGAGCAGGGAGGCCCAACACAGAGGACCCAGCACGGAGUCCAUGGGCCUGCAGGGACCACCCCCACGGGAAGCAGAAGGAGGCGCUGGCUCCCCCACUGCGCUGCUCUGGGGGGCCCCUCCCCUCAAGGCCCCCCAGGGGCGCCCCUCCCCUCUGAGGCCCCCCGGGGCGCCCCUCCCCUCCGAGGCCCCCCAGGCUCUACCCCAGGCGGGAGGGGCCCUGAUCCGCCCAAGCUCAAAGCUCCCGGGAACUUAGGGCUUUGUCCUAGGCGGUCUGUUUUUCAAAUAAAUUAUAAUGUUUAAUGAUGUGAA